This 305-nucleotide ribosomal RNA is filed under the name uncultured bacterium. Its description in RNAcentral is "partial 16S ribosomal RNA". It matches the Rfam family "Bacterial small subunit ribosomal RNA", at positions 508 to 807 of the family's 1533-position model. The record is from RNAcentral.
ACAGCAGUCGCCGCGGUAAUGCGUAGGUGGCAAGCGUUGUCCGGAAUUAUUGGGCGUAAAGGGCUCGCAGGCGGUUUCUUAAGUCUGAUGUGAAAGCCCCCGGCUCAACCGGGGAGGGUCAUUGGAAACUGGGAAACUUGAGUGCAGAAGAGGAGAGUGGAAUUCCACGUGUAGCGGUGAAAUGCGUAGAGAUGUGGAGGAACACCAGUGGCGAAGGCGACUCUCUGGUCUGUAACUGACGCUGAGGAGCGAAAGCGUGGGGAGCGAACAGGAUUAGAGACCCGCGUAGUCCCUGUCUCUUAUAC